This 220-nucleotide ribosomal RNA is filed under the name uncultured bacterium. RNAcentral's name for it is "partial 16S ribosomal RNA". It matches the Rfam family "Bacterial small subunit ribosomal RNA", at positions 96 to 334 of the family's 1533-position model. The record is from RNAcentral.
UGGCGGACGGGUGAGUGACGCGUGAGAAUCUGCCUUCAGGACGGAGACAACAGUUGGAAACGACUGCUAAGCCCCGAUGAACCGAAAGGGAAAAUAUUUAUAGCCUGAAGAUGAGCUCGCGUCCGAUUAGCUAGUUGGCGGAGUAAAAGCCCACCAAGGCGACGAUCGGUAGCUGGUCUGAGAGGACGAUCAGCCACACUGGGACUGAGACACGGCCCAG